AUUGAACGCUGGCGGCAUGCUUUACACAUGCAAGUCGAACGGCAGCGCGGGCUUCGGCCUGGCGGCGAGUGGCGAACGGGUGAGUAAUGCAUCGGAACGUACCCAGUAGUGGGGGAUAGCCCGGCGAAAGCCGGAUUAAUACCGCAUACGACCUGAGGGUGAAAGCGGGGGACCGAAAGGCCUCGCGCUAUUGGAACGGCCGAUGUCGGAUUAGCUAGUUGGUGGGGUAAAGGCUUACCAAGGCGACGAUCCGUAGCUGGUCUGAGAGGACGACCAGCCACACUGGGACUGAGACACGGCCCAGACUCCUACGGGAGGCAGCAGUGGGGAAUUUUGGACAAUGGGGGCAACCCUGAUCCAGCCAUGCCGCGUGCGGGAAGAAGGCCUUCGGGUUGUAAACCGCUUUUGUUCGGGAAGAAAUCCUCUGGGCUAAUACCCCGGGGGGAUGACGGUACCGGAAGAAUAAGCACCGGCUAACUACGUG
This 484-nucleotide ribosomal RNA is filed under the name uncultured bacterium. Its description in RNAcentral is "partial 16S ribosomal RNA". It matches the Rfam family "Bacterial small subunit ribosomal RNA", at positions 29 to 507 of the family's 1533-position model. The record is from RNAcentral.